Sapajus apella (tufted capuchin) is the source of this 2513-nucleotide long non-coding RNA. RefSeq lists it as uncharacterized. NCBI's taxonomy places the organism in Eukaryota, Metazoa, Chordata, Mammalia, Primates, Cebidae. The transcript has 2 exons. The record is from RefSeq and is a predicted model, not a curated record.
GUGGGAGGAUCACUUGAGCCCAGGAAGUCAAGGUUGCAGUAAGCUGAGAUGGUGUCCAUGUACUCCAGCCUGGGCAACAGAGCAAGACCCUGUCUUAAUAUGUCAAUCAGUAUUUUAUACUUUUGGAUACUGUAUGGUUUUCCCACCAAAUACCGUCACCACUACCGAAGAACCAUGUAAGUAAAUUCUCUAAAUGGUUCUUAACUUUGUGCCGGACACCUGAGAAUGUGCACAGGUUUAUUAGCUGUGGUCCUUCAUUUUGAGUCUGUAUAGAAUCCUGUUCUCCAGUGAUGUUACUCAGUGUUAUCAGUUUUCUUUUUUCUUCAUGUUGCUUUCUUACUGUAUUCAGAAAAUUUUCUUUAAAAAUGUUUCAGAUUAUUUUCACUUCGGUGGGCCCUUCACUCGUCUCUAAUAAAAUGUGAACUGAAUACAUUUUCAGGUAAGAUCUUUCAGUUCAUGCUGCAGGCUCUCCUGUCUGUGUGAAGAUCUGACCUAUGGAGUACUUUCUCUUCAUUUUUUCCCCCUAUUUCUUUUUGUAAAAUAAAUUUUAUUUUAUAUAUUUGAGGUUUACAACAUGAUGUCGUGGGAUUCACGGAUACUAGUGACUCUAGUGAAGCAAAUUCACCUAUCAAUGAUCUCGCACAUAGUAGGUCCUUUGUAUCUGCACGUUCCACGUUUGCAGAUCCUGCCAACCACAGAUCGAAAAUACUUGGGAGAAAAACCAAAAAAUAAUAAUAUAACAGUGAGAAUAACACACAUGUUUAAAAUGCAGUUUAUUCACCUAGCAUUUGCAUUAUAUUAGGGAUCAUAGAGAUUUAGCAUUUACAGGAGUAUGUGUGCAGAUUAUAUGCAAAGCUACAUUAUUUUAUAUCAGCAACUUGAGCAUUGUGGAUUUUGGUAUCCUGAGGGAUUUCUGGAACCAGUUGCCCACUGAUCUCGAAGGAUGAUGAUGGUUAAUGUAGUGUGUGUGUGUGUGUGUGUGUGUGUGUGUGUGUGUGUGAACUGCUUGGUAGGAAAGCUACAGGAGAGACUGGGAAAGGCUAAUGGAGGGGUGACUGGAAGAGGUACCAAACCAUGAGAAGAAAUUACAGUCAGAAGGGACCCUCCAGUAUCGAAAGAUGAAGUUGUGAUUCAAACCAUAACAAUACAUGGGCUCAACAGUCUUGUUUAUCAAACCCUGCAGAACUGAACAGAGGAGAGCAGUUGCUUCUUGAGGGGGAAAGUUUAUGGAAGAAGAAAAUAACUUGUUUUCAACAGUUGAGGAAGGAGUUUCACCUUUGUCAUCUCACCUGAUCUGUACCCAGCACUGAGGGGAAGGGUGGGGACAAGUCAUUAUUCACAUUUGGCAGAUGAACAAACAGGUCAGAGAGAGUAAGUGACUCGGCUAAGCCCACACUGCCAGCUCUGCAGUCAGGAUCAAACCUGACUCUGAUUGAAGUUUCCUGCACUUGUCCCACCUUCGGGUUGUGAAAACUUGGGGUCUGUACUACAGUGUGGAAGACGUAGGAUCACUGAGAAAAAUGGCAAUUGCAAAUACUGUUCAAGCCUUAAGGAAAAGCCUUGAGUCUGUGAUAUGAGCAGAACUCAGAAGUGUUGAGUCAGAGCAGUCCAGCUGUCUUAAGCUCAGAUAGCUGCCCUUGUUAGAGGCUGCUGGUUGAGUAGCAAGUUUGUCAACUUGAUCCAACAUAAAGUUUAUGCAUUUUUAUUUAUAUUGUACAUGUAAAAAGUAGCUGUUUUUUUCGCUUCAGAGAUGGCCUCAGCUAUGCAAAAAUAAGAAGGAUCUGAAAGAUCAGUCUUAUCGUAAAGAAGAUGUCAGGCGACGUGGUUGAUGACCGCACAUUGUUCAUUCCCAAGGUCGUGGGUAGUGCCAGGAUUUUCAGACGCAAAUGAUGCAUGUGUAAAGAUGACUGGACCAUCUGUGUCUCUUCAAAUGCCUGUUGAGAUUACCAAGUGUUCCCAGCAAGGGUUAAUGUGGUGCAUGAACCUGACUAACCUCGGAUGCUAGUUUUCCCUCCCUGAAUAGAGAGUCUAGGAGCCAAGUUCCGGUGUGGAGGAAUUCACAAGAGAGGCAGGUUUAAUGGAAAAACAGACACUCUGAGGUCUUUGGAGGUCCUGUGAUGUGCUUGUCACCGGGUUCCUGCUUCUAACACCCCCACCACCGAGUGUCAACCAUGUGGUUUGUUCUUUGUGUACUUUGUUAGCUAAAGUCUCAAGUGUCAAGUUGAUGGCACUUUCAUUUUAGGUUCAUGGACACUGUUAUUAUCCAUUAAUUUGUUAGUCAUCAGUACUUUGUUGCAUCAGUAAAAUAAAACACUACGUUAGGAAUAUCAUGAUCAGAACAAGGUAGUUUCCUAAUUUUUAGAUUGCUGGCAUUUUCUAGCAAAUAAAGGCAAGGUGUGCAACUUGAGGUUUGAGGGGCCUCCCUGCAGAGGAAAUGAGUAGGCCUGACAGUUGCAAUCAGUAACAAAACAGGUUAAAAAGAAACAAUAGUUGAAGUACAGAGAAAAGUUUAA